This 513-nucleotide ribosomal RNA is filed under the name uncultured bacterium. RNAcentral's name for it is "partial 16S ribosomal RNA". It matches the Rfam family "Bacterial small subunit ribosomal RNA", at positions 355 to 857 of the family's 1533-position model. The record is from RNAcentral.
UGGGGAAUAUUGCACAAUGGGCGCAAGCCUGAUGCAGCCAUGCCGCGUGUGUGAAGAAGGCCUUCGGGUUGUAAAGCACUUUCAGCGAGGAGGAAGGUGGUGAGCUUAAUACGCUCAUCAAUUGACGUUACUCGCAGAAGAAGCACCGGCUAACUCCGUGCCAGCAGCCGCGGUAAUACGGAGGGUGCAAGCGUUAAUCGGAAUUACUGGGCGUAAAGCGCACGCAGGCGGUUUGUUAAGUCAGAUGUGAAAUCCCCGGGCUCAACCUGGGAACUGCAUUUGAAACUGGCAAGCUAGAGUCUCGUAGAGGGGGGUAGAAUUCCAGGUGUAGCGGUGAAAUGCGUAGAGAUCUGGAGGAAUACCGGUGGCGAAGGCGGCCCCCUGGACGAAGACUGACGCUCAGGUGCGAAAAGCGUGGGGAGCAAAACAGGAUUAGAUACCCUGGUAGUCCACGCUGUAAACGAUGUCGAUUUUGGAGGUUGUGCCCUUGAGGCGUGGCUUCCGGAGCUAACG